GUUGCUAGGCGGAAUUGGGAGUAUCUGGAACUCAAAUUACUUGUUUGGCAGAUGGCGGAAUUGGAAAUAUCUGGAACUCAAAAUAUCGGUGCCAAAGUGGGAAUACUUGUAAUGUGUUUGUCAUUGAGAAAUGGUUCAAGUCUGACUUAUUUUCUAGAAUGAUAUGUACUUUUGGACCUGGUUUGUCGUUCUUUUUCAAUUAUAGACUAUUCAUAUGAUUUGUGAUUGUACCAAAAAAUAAGUAGAAGUAGUUUCAUAUUUUCCAGAUAAUAUAAUAUUUUAUAAUAAAAUAAUAAUACGUACAUAUCUAUUAUUUUUUAGAAAAUGUAAUAUGUCUUCAAUAUAAUGGCAUUAAGUUUAUAGGUUAUGUUAUGCAUAAUAAUAAUUAAGGUGUGUAACGUACAUUUGCAUUUUGCAACAGAAACAGCUUCUUAUAGAGUAUUGUUUUACAGGCUAAUCUUUUUUCAUGUAAUGUAUUCAAAUGUAAUUAUAAUUAGAAUUGGGAUAAUACAAAAAUAUACUUUUUGCUUAGUGAUAUCUAUUACAUUGUGUCAGAAUUUGGUUUCUCAAUAAUUCUCAUCCUGAGUGCCAAACUGAUCAACUGCAUCCUAAUGAAACGUUCAAGAUGUGAUUCAGUAACUGAUACGGUUGUUGCAAUAAUUAUUUUUGACUAAAUGAUUACGAAUAAGCGCAGCUAUAUCUGGAGAGGUAAUGCACCUACUGAUAUCCCGUGAUAAGAACUUGGGAGAGAUUUAGUGAAACCUGGAGA
Molecule: long non-coding RNA, 769 nt
Organism: Nilaparvata lugens (brown planthopper)
Lineage: Eukaryota; Metazoa; Arthropoda; Insecta; Hemiptera; Delphacidae
Exons: 3
Source: RefSeq, a predicted model, not a curated record